UACGUAGGGUGCGAGCGUUGUCCGGAAUUAUUGGGCGUAAAGAGCUCGUAGGUGGUUUGUCGCGUUGUCCGUGAAAACUCACAACUCAAUUGUGGGCGUGCGGGCGAUACGGGCAGACUGGAGUACUGCAGGGGAGACUGGAAUUCCUGGUGUAGCGGUGGAAUGCGCAGAUAUCAGGAGGAACACCGGUGGCGAAGGCGGGUCUCUGGGCAGUAACUGACGCUGAGGAGCGAAAGCGUGGGGAGCGAACAGG
RNAcentral lists this ribosomal RNA (253 nucleotides) under uncultured bacterium. RNAcentral's name for it is "partial 16S ribosomal RNA". It matches the Rfam family "Bacterial small subunit ribosomal RNA", at positions 524 to 776 of the family's 1533-position model. The record is from RNAcentral.